RNAcentral lists this ribosomal RNA (465 nucleotides) under Vreelandella stevensii. Its description in RNAcentral is "partial 16S ribosomal RNA". It matches the Rfam family "Bacterial small subunit ribosomal RNA", at positions 338 to 795 of the family's 1533-position model. Lineage: Bacteria; Pseudomonadati; Pseudomonadota; Gammaproteobacteria; Oceanospirillales; Halomonadaceae. The record is from RNAcentral.
CCUACGGGUGGCUGCAGUGGGGAAUAUUGGACAAUGGGCGAAAGCCUGAUCCAGCCAUGCCGCGUGUGUGAAGAAGGCCUUCGGGUUGUAAAGCACUUUCAGUGGGGAAGAAAGCCUUGGGGCUAAUACCCUCGAGGAAGGACAUCACCCACAGAAGAAGCACCGGCUAACUCCGUGCCAGCAGCCGCGGUAAUACGGAGGGUGCGAGCGUUAAUCGGAAUUACUGGGCGUUAAGCGCGCGUAGGCGGUCUGAUAAGCCGGUUGUGAAAGCCCCGGGCUCAACCUGGGAACGGCAUCCGGAACUGUCAGGCUAGAGUGCAGGAGAGGAAGGUAGAAUUCCCGGUGUAGCGGUGAAAUGCGUAGAGAUCGGGAGGAAUACCAGUGGCGAAGGCGGCCUUCUGGACUGACACUGACGCUGAGGUGCGAAAGCGUGGGUAGCAAACAGGAUUAGAUACCCCAGUAGUC